Molecule: long non-coding RNA, 2052 nt
Organism: Oreochromis aureus
Lineage: Eukaryota; Metazoa; Chordata; Actinopteri; Cichliformes; Cichlidae
Source: Ensembl
GGGUGUGAGACGAUGAGAGGUUUCAGUUUUCUUUUUCUUUUUCUUUUGACUUGCUCUUUCUGAUCAUGGAAGGCAUGUCCAAGAUACUCGUAUGAAAGCGUAUUUUGUGUGAUUUUAACUGUGUGAAUGCUGUCAGUAUUUGAUUUGAGUGACUGCAUGAUUUGUCUGAGUGAGUGGAAAAUGGCAGUUUGAGAGAGAAAAGGCAGUGUGUGAGACGAUUACUGAAUGACUAAAGAGGUUAGAACUUUUAAAGGUGUGUAUGGAAUAAAGGAGUGUGAAAUAUAUUUCUUGUGUGAGGAAAAGUAGGAUGUUUUAAAGUUUGAAAGUGCUUUUAAUUCAAGAAAUCCAUGAGAGAUGUUAUGACAGGUUGAGUGUAUUUUUUCCGAUUGAAAAUACAUAAGUAUAUGUACUUGGGAAGCCCAGUUAAGAGAUUAUUGGGUGACUGAUGCUAUAAAACUGACCUAAAGAAUGGUCCUGUCCGUGGAGAAGUGUUAGUUGUCCUGAUGUUUGGAAGAGCUCUAUUUAAAAGUGUGUGUGAGAGGAAGGUGUGUGUGACUGAUGAUGUCAGGGGAGCACCCAGAGAAAUAGACAGAGUUAAAUUCUAAGAGGAUGAAGCGGAUGCAUGUUUUAAGAAAAAGUAAUAAAGUAAUAAAAUUAUAUUAAUUACAGGUUUUAGAAAAGAGACAGACUGAGAGAAAUAAAUACAUGAACUAACAAUUACAUUAAUGAAUUGAAAACGCACGUACACAAACUGUUACAUGUGAAAUUAUUGUUGGAAAGUUUAAUAAAGAAAGCAGUUUACACUCCUUUAAUUUCCAGAACCAGUGUGUCCCCUAGGUCUGAUAACACCCUUGCCCAGUUGGCUCCUGUAGUAGGCGGGCAUGGAAGGCUGGACAGCCCAUGACGGGUAAGAUCCCACCUCGAAACCCUGGGACAACCUAAGGCAAGGCGCAGUCACGAUUGCUCGAACCUAAGUCCCGGAGUGACCUUGGAGUCACUGGAGGAGACGGGAUUUAACAGGUAAGGCCACUGGGCACAGACGAAGGGGAAAUGUCAUUCACAAUGACCAGUGAUGAGCCAAAGAGAGAAAACACACCCUGUCAAAAGGAGUUUGGAACACUGGAAAAGAAACAUUUACAAGAUCACAAAGAUCAUAAAGAAACAUUUAUAAGAAUCACACAUACAAACAGAAAAUGCACUAACCUUACAGAGAUAAGCUCAUGAAGAUUAAUGAACAGAUAAUGAUUUAAAACCUGGCUAAGAACACAAACAUACGUAAUUAAAUCAGCCUGGUAAUUUCAUGAGGGUUAAAAUGGUGUGAAUGUUGAAGAAAAUACACUUAAAACACACUUGGAUAAAAUAGAGUUGUGGAAUAACUCAAACGAAGCUGUAUGACAAGGGAGUGAGUUAUGGAAAAAACAAAACAAAAGAGAAGUGAUUACUUAGGAGUGCUCUUGCACUGAUUUAUCAAAGUAAGUGAUUAGUAUAGAAAGAAAAUGAAAAUAAUUGAAUAAUGUGAUAAGGUUUAAACAUGUAUUCCUCUUGUUAAGUUGGCUGUUGAGCUGUGGGUUUAUGCAAAUUAGCUGGAGUGAGUGAGUGACAAAGACACUUCCUGUGUGCGUGUGUGUCGGAGGCUUUCAGUUCAAGAGAGAUCGGGGCUGAUGAAGAGUAUUGGGAGAAAUAUAUAAUGGUAAAGUAUCAGGAUAUUUGAUUACGGUGGUCAGGUCUGUUCAGAGGGGCAGAUUUGGACAGGAAAGUUAUAAUUUAAGGAUGAUAUGUGGUUGAAAUUGGUUUUUAUCUUGUGCUGGAUGAACACAUGGUAAAGUGAGGAAGGGUGACAUUGUGCAAACGGUCGUUGAUCUUUUGACGAGGUUUUCGGUGUGUUGAACGGGUGAAAUUUAAGAUUGUUUCAGAUUUUUGAGGCUGUUGUUUUAUUUCCAGAGAGGGUGUUUAAUUAAGACAUGGAUAUGUCUGAGAGGGGCCCCAAAAAUUUUUUGUAGUAGUGCACUCAGGAAAAAACCUGUCAGGUGAUUUUGUUUUGUACUUUGAUGA